CCGCGGGCGGCUGGCGGCGCUGGCUGGCGGCACCUGAGGCGGGCGGCGCUGGCCUGGAGGCUGGCAGACGCACCCGGCAGGCGCUGGGCCCGACCACAUGAAAGGCCAAGGCGCUCCACCCGCCAGCUGCCUCGAGCUGGGUUCUGAAGGCGCCGCCGCGCACCCCAAGACCCGGCCUUCGAAAGGCCGCCUUCCUCCCCGAGGCCCAGGGAUGGGGCCCCGGGUCAGGUGACCCACAGGCGGGAGCGCAUUGUUGUCCCUGCCCCUGGCCCCUGUUGGACCCAGGAGGAAACCGAGGACCAGGGAGGAGAAACAAAGUCACCAGGACCCUGCGAUUGCCAAGUGGCGGAAGUUAGCCCAGUGCGAGCCCGGCUCUUCCCACCGCACCGAGGGUCGGCGCGAUUUCAUCCUCCGUCGGAGCUCAAGAUGGACGCUGGGAGGAGCGCUGUCUGGGGGGGGGAAUUGGGCAGCCAAGCCAGGGGCGACAGCAGCGCCAACAGCAACAGCAGCAGCAGCAGCAGCUCGAAACCUGCAAGCCAAGCACCUGAUCCCCCCACCCCCCACUUAUCAGCGAGGGUAGCUGAGCCCUCAGGCGCUGAGGCUCUGUCAUUGUAAUCCCAAACGGUGGCUUCAGAGCCUGCCUGCAAUUACUCUGCAGGCACAGGUUCCCCUCACCCCACCCCAAACGGAGAAGCCUCAACUGUCAGCGGAUCCGACUUCAACCCCACAUCAUUAAGAAGGAGAAAAUCAGGAAACCGUUCUGUUGGAGCGACCCAGCUUCAGGACGCUUACCCCUAAGGGGCACCAAUGAAUAGAUCUUGUCUGCAGCCUCCGAGGUUUUUAAUCAGCAGAUGAGAUCGAAGUGAGAUGAAGACACAUCCUAAGAUUUUUGUCUGUUUCCAGAGUGUAGAAGAAUAGAGAAAGCAAGAGGUGCAGAAGUACUCGCCGGUUCUUUCCGAAUGAAGCAACAAGGGGGUUAUUAGCUUGCUCCUUACGGGGGCUCUAAACCGGUCACUUUUCUAAAGUGGUGGGAUUCCCCCAACAACCCCAUGAGGUGGGUACCACUAUGGCUCACAAGCUACAGUGAGGAAAUUGAGACUCGGGUGAAGUGACUUGCCCAAGGUCACACGGCUCAGUGGCAGAGCCGGGACUUGAACCCACGCGUGGGCUCCAGUGCCCCUGCUCCUAUUCCAGUUGUCAGUGCAUUGUCAACCCCACGGAAUGUGUUGAAGAGAAAUCCGAUGCCCGGUGAUUGUGCUAUGAACAGAGUUGGCUAACCUAGGAGAACUCAAAGAGUCAGCUGGUACUCUGGAACACUGUUUGCAGUUAGGACCCACCACCUCCCCAGUCUGGUCUCCUGUUCUUAGAACGAUCUAUUGAGGACCAUCUAGAAAAAGAAAAAGAUAGUUCAACCCUUGUCUCUGCCCACUCACCUCUGAGCGUGGCAAGAGGAGGAGAGUCUGUGUUUUAGAAGCCUGGCUUCUCUGCCAGCUCCCUGAGCCCAAGCUAAAGCAGCCUCAGAUCCCAUCCACAUCCCACCUUCUCUGAGGUCUGGACCCAAAACAGGUGGUCACGAUGAAGGUCAGCAUCAGCCAGUGAGCAGUCUAAAUCCCAGAUAUGGGCAGGAAGGCACCUGCAUCCUGCCAGGUAAUAGAGAUGACCUCACUGAAAACCACAUCUCAGCUUCUUCAGCCUUAGAACUGCCCCUGAAUAAAAUUUUAUUAAUGCAUCUUCACACCUUUGCUCUGUGCUUUAGCAUUUUACAGCUUUUAUCACACUUAACUCACUCAGGAAUCCUACAAAGCAUUCUUGUACCCAUUUUCUGGAUGAGGAAAACGAGGAUCCAGUAAGUUAAGUGACUUGUCCAAGAUCACAUGCCCCAUAAGGAACAGUUUGGAUAUGAACCUAGGUCAGGCUGACUACAGAGGGCAUAUGUUUAAACACCACUCUGUAACCUUCCCACUUGGGGCUGUUCCAACCCAACAAACAAGUCCCUUUAGAGAAACCCAACUCUCUGCCUAAGACAGCUCUUAGAACAACCUCAAAGAAGUUCCUUUUGGCAAGAAGAUAGAAAGCCUAGAUGGGAUUGGGGCUGUCUCUGAUUUCCAAGUCCCUUCAGAGUAUCAGAAAGAGGUGCCGAAAGCCUUCACAGUUUCAGUCCUGUGUUUCCCUACCUGGCUCGAAACUGCUCAGCAGACAGAGGAAAAAAAAAAAAAAAAAAAAAAAAAACUAUUUUCCCAGGGAAACAUUCAACUCUAGCUUGAGAUAGGGCUUGCCUCAACACGCCAAAGUGAAAUCGUCAGCCCAUUCAUUUACCCUUACAAAUUGCUCUGUGAAUCCUGGCGCCGGCCUCCCUGCGCUUCCCCCUUCUGGAAACCCCAUCGAGCCUCCACGCUCAGAGAGCGCCAGGCAUCCACCAAUGUUUACUCACUCAAGUUCAUUCGACAUCUUCUUGCUCCCAGGCUCCCAGGCUCCAAGAUGAAGACGGGCACCAACACCGAGGCUCUGCUGACCGCUUGUCUCUAAUUCUUGCCUGACACAGACAUUCCCUGCCCAGGGAAGUGUUUGAUUUAUGUUGAGGUUUGAGUGUCGGGAUUUUGCUGACAGGUAGGUUCCCGGCAGCACUGGUGCUGAUUGGCUAUGGGUACAGGUGCCGGCGACAGCAGGUAUGCCUCAACAGGUGCAAGCUGUUAACUCUUGGCCUGCCGCGUUGGGGGUGGAGCCAAGGGGAGCUGGCUGGGUGGAGCUGGCCAAUUCCUUCCUAGGUGAGGGGGAGGGAGGAGGAAGGGCGGAAGAAAAUGCUAGAGAGAAGAUAGAGGAAAAAUACAGAGACAGAUACUUGGCUAAAGAAAAUCUCAAUUUCUGUUUCUACUUAGUAUCCUGGAUACUUAGGAACAUCCCCAUGGCCCCCAAUUCUGUUGCCCCUUCUACCCAGUAUCAAAUACUUCACAGCCAACCGGGGAAUUCUCAAAGGAGAGAGCAUAUCCCCUCCCUCCCCCAGCUGGACCCUCACCCUGGGGUAGGGGGGCUGUCUCUGUGUAAGCUCCCUUUCUUUUUUUCAGAGCUUUUCCCUUAAGAAGAUAAUAGCUUCUUUCUGAACAAUGUUUUACAGUUAUUCAAGUGAGUUAUUUUGAUUCUCACAGUAACCCACUGUGGUAGAUAUUCCUGCACACCUUCCUUCCAACACACUUCACAGAUCUGAAUAUGAUAUGAACAACCCACAUGCCUUUGGCCAGCACAGAAGAGAUGGAGAGGUUGAAGUUGACCACCGCCAAUGCCUUAGCCAGCUGGUCAUUUCAUGUAGUCUAAUAAGUGCUUUCUUCUUCAUUGGAAACACAGAAGAAUCAGAUGCCUGUUAGACUAAGAAAUUGUGGAAUAAUUGCUGUGAGCUGCCUCCGUAAAGAACAAGAUUUCCUCUCCCAGAGACCUUGCCAGGUGGAGGAAUUUAUUGGUGGUAACAAGCACCGGCCCUUUUUACGAAAAAGGCCUUCGUGCCCGACAUAUAUGCCAGGUGGGCGAACAGUCCCAGAGAAGCAAGGCGAUUUGCCCAAGGUGAGCGACGGAGCUGCCACUUGAACCCCGGGCCGGAAUUACUCCAGAACACCUGGCAGCUACAGCUUCCUAGACAAACUCUCUGGAAGCCUUGUUCGGGUGAAGCUCUGCCUCCAUGGUGAUGGAGACCCGGAUCUGCCCAUCUUUUGUGAAAUCUCAGACUCUUCUCCGGAAGGCCCACCUGGUCGACUUCCAGUCCUCCGGCAGCGGGGACAGUGGCAGUGCCGUGAGUGCAUGUGUCUUGUCUGAACUGGUCCAGGAAGGCACAGAGGGCGGCCUCUCACUCCUGUCUGUGGGAAAGACGCCAGCUCUAGCAGUAGAGAUUGUGGUACAGACUUGGUUUCCCAGUCACUGUCAUGUCCAAGGGCCAGGAACAACGAAUACUUUCCUCCUUGUCCUCUGUCCAGCAAAUGCAGCAUCCAGAGGCAGCCCAUAGUGAAAAGAACAUUCCAUGGGAAUUCUGCAACAUGGAUAUCCUCUCCAGGCCCCAGUCCAGCCUGAGCCUGUUCCUCUUCUAGCUGGCAAGUUCCUUUCUCCUCCUCACUUCCCUGAAACUCUUAGGCUCACCUCAAGCCCACUCCCUCCUUGCUUCUUCUCCUAUCUUCUCAGGAAGUAGCUCCCUCUUCUUCACAGCCCCUGGCUCUACCCUCCUCUGGUUCAACCUUCCUGGGCAGUUUGCUCCAUUACCUCUCCUGGACCCAAAUUGCUUAUGAAUUCUCUAAAGUCAUGUCAGGAAAUCCCACAGAUGCACCCUAGACAACACAAGAAUGCCCCAGAUGUUCUAGGCAGCAAAGUUUCUGGGAUCAAAAUUGUCUGGGCAAAGCUGCACACCAGACCCUCUUCUUAAAAAUUAACAAUGCACAGUCAAGUCUCUGAAAAGUCCAGUAAUCAAGAAACCCGUUUUGUUUGCUUUUUCAACCCAGGGUUUGUGAGAUGGCCAUGUAAUCAUCCUCCCUGUCUCUACCAUAUACCUGUAACAGUAGAACCAGUGAUCCACUGUGGAACACAUUUUGGGAAAUUCUACCCCCAGCCUUCCACCAAACUUUGCAGUUAAUCUUGCUUUCAUUGAUUUAAGCCUUUCCUAUUUCUUGAAGAUAAUCUUAUAAAAUAAUAUGAGGUGAUGCCUGCCCAGGAGGGUGUUCCAGAAACAUAUACUUGAUGGGGAUGAAGAUUUUCUUAAGACUUGAGGAUGAUGAUGCCCAGAAUAGAUCACAGAUUUUCCAGAAUGUGGAAAGAGAGGGAGUAGAAUUUUAAACAACAGCAGAUACGGUUUACCAAAUUUUUACUUGUUUCCUAGUCAGAGGAACCAAAGCCAGAUGUGGAAUGUAAUGGAGAAUUAUUAAACCAGACCUCCAUCACAGAUAAAUUGUUUUUGAGUGAAUGAGUAAACAGACUUUCUGACCAGUUAGAGGGUUGGGAGACUGUGAAUGAAUGUCUGCAUGCACGCAGGAAUGAAUGAAUGAACGAAUGAUCAAGUAACUGGUCCCCGGUUUAGAAACUGCCACCCAUGUUCAAUGGACAAAGCCAGAUGUAAAAAGAGGACGCCAUGAAUGAUUCCAUUUAUGUGAAGGUCAAGAGCAGAUAAAGCUACUCUACUAUGGAAAAAACAGAGCUGUGGUUGCAUUUUUUUAAAAAAUUUAUUCAUGAAAGACACAGAGAGGCAGAGACAUGGGCAGAGGGAGAAUAUUAUAACAUCCUGCAGGGAGCCCGAUGUGCAACUCCAUCCCAGGACUCCAGGAUCAGACCUGAGCCAAAGGCAGAUGCUCAACCACUGAGCCACGCAGGCGUCCUGUGGUUGCAUUCAAAAGGGCUUUUGGGGCAAUAGAAAUCUUCUCUAUCUUGAUUCCGAUGGUGGUUACUCGGGUGUAUACUUUUGUCAAAAUUCACCAGAUUGUACAUUUAAGAUCUGUGCUCUUAUCUGUAUUAUACAAUUUAUCUAAAAGUAAAAACCUUACCACUUAGGUCUCCCAGGCAAGAAUUCACUCUCUUGUCCAUUAUUUUCUCAAAACACUUUUUCUAUACAGGCAGCACAUCACUGUAACACAACUGCCUACCAGGGGAAUUCUUUAUGUCUGCUCCCCCCACUGCGUGUGAGCUUCCCUCUAGAACCCUCACAUAGCAAGCAAUGAACUAGCAUUGGUGAGAUUGAGUUGAGGCCAGAUCCAUAAAUAUAAAACAAAACAACAGUAGUUAUCAUGUAUUAAGUACCUGUGAUGUGUCAGGCUGUAUACAAAGUUCCUCACACAUUUCAUUAUAUAUACAUGUGUAUGUAUACAUAUAUAUUUUUUCAUUUCAUUAUUUAUACAUGAUUUAUAUAUAUAUUCCCCACAAGAUAAAUACAAAGUAGCCAUUAAGUUUGAAAACAGGGACACCUGGGUUGUUCAGCGGAUGAGCAUCUGCCUUUGGUUCAGGGCGUGGUCCUGGGGCCCCGGGGUCCCAUGAUCAAGUCCCACAUCAGGCUCCCUGCAUGGAGUCUCUCUGCCUGUGUCUGCCUGUGUCUCUGCCUCUCUCUCUGUGUCUCUCGUGAAUAAAUAAAUAAAAUCUUUUAAAAAAUUUAAGAAACAUGAGUUUCUAGCAAGAAGGAUUGUUUACCAAUCCCAUUCUUCCACCCUCCAAAGUAGGUGCUGGGAGGGUGGAAUGAGCAGUGGUUGAAGUCUUUCUAAGCUCUAAACUAAGCUAAUGGGACGCCUGGGUGGCUCAGUGGUUGAGCGUCUCUGCCUCUGGCUCAGGGCGUGAUCCUGGGGUCCCAGGAUCAAGUCCCACGUCGGGCUCCCUGCAUGGAGCCUGCUUCUCCCUCUGCCUGUGUCUCUGCCUCUCUCUGUGUGUCUCUCAUGAAAAGGUAAAUAAAUUAAUCUUUAAAAAAUAAGUUUGAAAACAGACUAAUAAUAAAUACAAAUGGUUUAGCUAUAUUACAUUAUAAUACAGGCAAAAUGAUAGUGUAUUUCUGACUUUAUAGUCAGUGUGUGAUUGUGUGCAUAUGUGUCUGUGUGUAUUACUAUCAGUCUCCAUUUUAUAUGGAGAUCAUGAGAUUCGACUUCCCAGAAACAUGUAGGACCAGGAGGCAAACCCAGGGUGCUUGAUCUCAGAGGCGUUGAGCCAGACUGUUUCCAAAGUGGCACCACAUAAAUCCAGAAGAAAUGUCGUGAGAUCUUUCUGGCCAAGAGACUUGAAAACAGUUUCCUUGAAGUUGAAAGUGUAUGUGUGUGUGUGUGUGUGUGUGUGUGUGUGUGUACAGAGAGGUGUAAAGGCACUGUAGGGCUCCCAUAGCUCCAGGAAGGGGCUAUAGCAAGGAGGACUUGGGUUUAGAAUCCUAACUGCCCCAUUUAUCAGCUGCAUGACAUGACCUGGGGCAAGUUAUUUGAUACCACUCAGCCUGGGUUCUCCCACCUUCACAUGGGUGUAGUGACAGUGCCCAUCUUCUGGCGUUUUGAGGAAGGAUUCAAUGAGGUAAUGCACGUAAACCUCUCAACACGUCUAAGCUCUCAUUCUCAGUAAAUGUUUAUUGAGUUUAUUAUCAUUUUGCUGUUUUCUGUAGGAUUAUAACUCCCUGCUCUCCCCCUUUGCCCCCUCCAAACAAUUCUUUGUCCUGCACCCAGCCUCUUCCCUUCUUCAGAGGGUAGAAGCCUAGGAUUUGGUAGUUGUGACAAAUAGUUUGAAUCAGGGACAAUUGCCACAACUGCCAGUCAGCUCAGGGAGUAGAAAGAGUCAGCUGGUGGGUGGUAACUAGGGGAUCCCUAGCUGAUUUGGGGUAAAAAACAUGAAUCCUUGUUUUUUUAAGAAUCCUUGCCACCUGCUUUGGGCUUCUCCUUGCCUCCUUCAUUCUGAAAUGAGGUAGUUGGAAGCCUUACAACAUGAGGAAUGAGACACUGGGAGCAGAGUGCCCACCUUUGAAUUUCACAUGAGGUCCGGGCCUUGGAGGUCAGGGGGCUGGUGGGAAGACUGGACCCCUUUGGCUGGAAGCUUGCCCUUUGGGAUCUUGUAUGAGAGGGACUGGCAGGGGACGAGGUUCCCCUCAUUGUAGUUCUGAAGACUAGACCUUAGGGUUUCCCGCCUCUUUGCCUGAAACAACCCCCUGGCAUGUGGAGGGCGAGGCAGGGCAAAAACUCUUGACAGUUCAAGUCUUUGGUCUUUUUUGAUUUGUGGAGUCAAUAGGCCAGUGUUCCUUGAAAUAAAGUAAUAAUCCAUGCUCAUAGAGAGGAAAGAAAAAAAAAAAGAAAAUGCAGAUAAAAAUAAUGAAGAAUAAAAUAAUAAUAAAUUUAAUAAACAAAUAACUGAUUAUUUUUCAUCCGAAGAGAACCACAGUUGUUCUUUCCUACCUUUCCCUCUGCUCACAGGAAGGCUGUGGCCCCAGGAUUAAAUGUACAGGCUGGCUGAGCUGGACUCUAAUCCUCGCUAGACACAUGUGGGCUAGUCUCUAUGCCAUCUGAACCUCAUUUCCUCAACUGUAAAAUGAAAUUAAAAACAGCAUCUAGGAUACUAAAAAGUUCAUUUAAAAUUUUUUUCUAAAGAAAUGAUCUAUGUUAUAGGAUUGAAAUAAUGUCCGUGACUCAACAAGUGUUAGCUCUUAUCAUAGCAAAUAUAUAUUCUUAUGAGAAAAAUGACAUCACUCCACAGAUACUGUUUGCUACCUGCCUUUCUUUCUCCCAUUAGACAACAAUGUGAGUCUCUUUCCAGCAUUAACUAUUCUAUGAAGACCUUUGGAAGACCAGGCCUCAUUUACCGGUCACCCACUGAUGGACAUUCAGGUUACAUCCAGUAUUUCAUUACUAUAAUCAAAGCUGCAUUAACAUAACUGCAGCUAAAUCUUUGCACCCAGCCACAGUUAUUUCCUUGGAGCCAAGUUCAAGAAAUAGAAUUGCAGGAUUUUAAGGGCAGCCACAGUUUUAGGACUUUUGAUAACCUGUUGCCAAACUGCCCUCCAGAAAGACCAUACCAAGUUCCUUUCCCACCAGCCGAGAAUAAGAGUGACUAUUUCGCUGCAACAUCACCAACACCAGCUUUUAUCAUUUUUGUCCAUCUUUAAGCAAUUAUUCUUGAGCAAGGGAAUUUCUUUUAUCUGUCUGAUUCAACUGGGAACUCCCGGAGGGCAGGGCAGGGAGGUAGCUCCUUCAUCUCUGGGUAGCUCCUGUACCUAGUACAAGUUCUAUCCAAGGUAAACAUCAAGAAGUAUUUGAACUGAGUCUCAGAAGCCAAGAGUGAUUUUUUAAGUGCCCUGGGCAGGCAAUUCUUAUUAAGUGCAAGACCUAACAACCAAGGAUUCUACCUAGAUGAAAUUCAGGGACUAGACACAGAGGAAGACAAAGGCAUUUCCAGAAGCACAGCCCUGAUAUUCAGAUGUUAAUCAGCCAAGUGAUAAGUUCUGAGAUCAGCCUGGGUUGGGGCCACUGAUCUGCCAACAGAUUUGCAUGUGUAACUUGAGAUCCACUCCAGUUUCAAAUACUUAGGGGAGCUCUGAGCCAGGAUACCUGGGUUUCGCACUGUCACCAUUUUGGCGGUGGCCCAGGACACGUCACUUUAUCCUUUUGGGCUUGGUGUCCGUAUCUAUUUAGUGGGGAGCUGAAUAGUGUUUCCACUGAGGUAUAUCAACAAUCAUGGGAUGCUGUCUCCCUCGCCCUUCUAACAUCUACUGAGGAUUUAUUAUGCCUCCUAUCUGUGCUGGGGGCGGGCUAGCAUGACACAGAAGGAACUCUGGACAGCCUGGGUUCGAAACCCUCGCCCUGAAACACUGUCACCUGUAUGCACUUGGCAAUGGAACUAAUAAGACCUGCUGUGGAUGGUUUGGUGGGGAGAUUAAAUACGCUCAUCUGUGCAAAGCACUUAGGACACUACUUGGUGCCCAGUAAGCACUAAGUGCCAGCAACCAUUAUCUGAUUUAAACCUCACAGUAACGCUGUAAGAGAACUACUUAUCAUUGACUCCGUUUUAAAGAUGGAGGAACAUGGAGCAGAGAAGUUACACAAAUGGUAAGAUAAAAGCCAAGACUGAUCUCACGUCUAUCUGACUCAGGCCUCUUCACAUCUGUUUGACUCACGACUUUUUCAUUUAGAAUAUGAAAUAUUAAUGUUUAUUUAAAUAUUAACAAUUAUCAAAAUUAUAUUCAAAAUUAAAGCUGGAUAACACCCCAGAUCAUUUAAUCCAAUUCCCUCACCUGACAAGGCUCAGGGUGGAAGGGACCUGUCCAAGGACACAUAGUAGGGCAGUGACAGCACAGGGCCGGGGCUCCAGCCUCCCGAUGGCCACUCAGGAGCCAGGUGCCUGGUGCCAGGGGUAGGGAAGCCUCUCCUGUUGCUGCCUUUGUUCCUGGACUAGUGAGCAGAGCCCUGGAGCUUGUGGGAACAUGAGCAACUCUGCAGCCCAAAGCAGGCCAGGUGCCAGGAGAAGCCAUUGUUGUCAUUGGCCACUGCAAUUACUACUUUUGUCCAUAAUUCUAGGUCUGGGUCCCCUCCUGUGGAGGAAUAAUCUAAUGUCUCCUGCCUGGACUUGCCCUCUCUGCAGCUGCCCUCGGUGCCAAGGCAGGGUGACCAAAAGUGGCUGCUCACUUUGCUCCUCACUUGAGGUCUCCACUGCGCUGGGUGACCUAAGGAGGAGAAGCUGCCAGCAAGGGCCCCUGCCCUCCUCCUCAGCAGCUCAUGCCUUCCCUGCUUUGUUUACAGCCUAAUUUUUUUUUUAAGGAUAUAUUUUAUUUAACCUAACAUAUAAAAAAUAUGUUUCAACAUACAGUCAAUUUAAUAGAGUAUUAACAAGGUAUUUUAUAUUAUUUUUU
Molecule: long non-coding RNA, 10315 nt
Organism: Canis lupus familiaris (dog)
Lineage: Eukaryota; Metazoa; Chordata; Mammalia; Carnivora; Canidae
Exons: 4
Source: RefSeq, a predicted model, not a curated record